CCUUGACAUGUCUGGAAUCCUGAAGAGAUUUGGGAGUGCUCGAAAGAGAGCCAGAACACAGGUGCUGCAUGGCCGUCGUCAGCUCGUGUCGUGAGAUGUUGGGUUAAGUCCCGCAACGAGCGCAACCCUUGUCAUUAGUUGCUACGAAAGGGCACUCUAAUGAGACUGCCGGUGACAAACCGGAGGAAGGUGGGGAUGACGUCAGGUCAUCAUGGCCCUUAUGGGUAGGGCUACACACGUCAUACAAUGGCCGGGACAGAGGGCUGCCAACCCGCGAGGGGGAGCUAAUCCCAGAAACCCGGUCGUAGUCCGGAUCGUAGUCUGCAACUCGACUGCGUGAAGUCGGAAUCGCUAGUAAUCGCGGAUCAGCUUGCCGCGGUGAAUACGUUCCCGGGUCUUGUACACACCGCCCGUCACACCAUGGGAGCGGGUUCUGCCAGAAGUAGUUAGCCUAACCGCAAGGGGGGCGA
RNAcentral lists this ribosomal RNA (470 nucleotides) under uncultured Roseateles sp. Its description in RNAcentral is "bacterial SSU rRNA". It matches the Rfam family "Bacterial small subunit ribosomal RNA", at positions 979 to 1453 of the family's 1533-position model. The record is from RNAcentral. Lineage: Bacteria; Pseudomonadati; Pseudomonadota; Betaproteobacteria; Burkholderiales; Sphaerotilaceae.